This 200-nucleotide unclassified non-coding RNA is filed under the name Scopulariopsis sp. RNAcentral describes it as "partial internal transcribed spacer 2". The record is from RNAcentral. Lineage: Eukaryota; Fungi; Ascomycota; Sordariomycetes; Microascales; Microascaceae.
UUAAGUUCAGCGGGUAACCCUACCUGAUCCGAGGUCAAACCAUCAAAAGAUUUGGGUUCGACGGCUGGCCUUCGCCGGGUUCCCGAUGCGAGGUUAUAAUUACUACGCAGGGGGCGCCGCGGCUGGACCGCCACUACAUUUCGGGGACUGCGGGGGCGGGGCCGUGAAUACCCCGCCGCCCGUAGAGCCCCAACACCGGG